UUAUAGUUUCACAGCACAAAGGAAGUCGUAAAUCAAGUCUAGUUCACAGUAUAUUUGUGUGCUCAUCAGAGAGGCAGGUACAGCAAGGUGGGGGAAGCCUUUCUACAGGCCCAAGAUGCUAUCUGAUGACAUUCUUAGCUUCUGGGUCAGUGAAAUUUAGUGGUCUGUGAUGAGGAUAUUGUCUUCAAAGCAGAAAGAAAACAAACUUUCCCUGGAAACCCGCUGGCCAUGCUGGCCUGAGAAUCAGAUCUGAACAAUGAGAGGAAAAGCAUAUGUUGCUUAGCUCCAUCACAACAUGGUCCCGCCAGAGCUCAGGGUCACUUUGAUCAUCAUCCCAUCCAACAGAUGAAAGGAUAGCUGCAGAGUCAAGUUCACGUGAGUCCACAGAUUGAUUCAUCACACCUACUUCUGCCGAAGUGACUUCCUGAUGAAGAACACUGAUAUGGGAAACGUUAUCUCUAUGAUUUAUACCCAAUAUCUGUCUACAUCUUCCAAGGCGUUGUCUCUGAAUUAACAGUCAUGUUCCAUUAAUUGAUUAUCACUCAGCCAAACAAUUAGCCAUGACUAUGACACAAUGGAUAUGACAAUUCCUUUUUCCAAGCAAAACUUUCUCCAAAGAGCUAGACAGGCAAUGAGGUCCUUUUUUGUAUGAUUUUACUAGACAUUCCAUCAAAGUUUUCCUUAGUAUUCCAAGGCCAGAAAAGAAGCAGUAAACAUUAAAAGUGAGAAACAAAUGGCCUUUAUUUAAAAAUAACAUGACUGUAUGUAUAUACAUGUAAUCAUUAAAAACACCAAUGGAACUCACAAGUUGUGAGUACAUUUGUGGGUACAAAACGAAUGUAAAGAUGU
This is a long non-coding RNA of Mesocricetus auratus (golden hamster), 849 nucleotides long. RefSeq lists it as uncharacterized. NCBI's taxonomy places the organism in Eukaryota, Metazoa, Chordata, Mammalia, Rodentia, Cricetidae. The record is from RefSeq and is a predicted model, not a curated record. The transcript is spliced from 3 exons.